This 345-nucleotide ribosomal RNA is filed under the name uncultured Leptolinea sp. Its description in RNAcentral is "bacterial SSU rRNA". It matches the Rfam family "Bacterial small subunit ribosomal RNA", at positions 1023 to 1382 of the family's 1533-position model. Lineage: Bacteria; Bacillati; Chloroflexota; Anaerolineae; Anaerolineales; Anaerolineaceae. The record is from RNAcentral.
GGGAGGCUUGCACAGGUGCUGCAUGGCUGUCGUCAGCUCGUGUCGUGAGAUGUUCGGUUAAGUCCGCUAACGAGCGCAACCCUCGUCGUGUGUUAUACGUGUCACACGAUACUGCCGGUAUCAAGCCGGAGGAAGGUGGGGAUGAUGUCAAGUCAGCAUGGCCUUUAUAUCCUGGGCUACACACACGCUACAAUGGCAGAUACAAUAGGUUGCGAAACCGCGAGGUGGAGCCAAUCCUCAAAGUCUGUCUCAGUUCAGAUUGUAGGCUGCAACUCGCCUGCAUGAAGUUGGAGUUGCUAGUAAACGCAGGUCAGCUAUACUGCGUUGAAUACGUUCCCGGGGUUU